AAUUUCACACCUGGAUGUGCUCACUCAACCAAGAAUAUAGAGAAAGAGCUUCUGCCCCGAGACUCAGAAAAAUAUUCUCCACUGCUUCUGUUCAGUACAGAUUUCUAGACCCCGAUCCUUGCUUAGCAGAUUUUCAGAGGGG
This 142-nucleotide long non-coding RNA is filed under the name Cyanistes caeruleus (blue tit). RNAcentral describes it as "Embryonic ventral forebrain-2 long ncRNA (ENSCCEG00000019290.1)". It matches the Rfam family "Embryonic ventral forebrain-2 long ncRNA". The record is from RNAcentral. Lineage: Eukaryota; Metazoa; Chordata; Aves; Passeriformes; Paridae.